AACACAUGCAAGUCGAGCGGUAGCACAGGGGAGCUUGCUCCCUGGGUGACGAGCGGCGGACGGGUGAGUAAUGUCUGGGAAACUGCCUGAUGGAGGGGGAUAACUACUGGAAACGGUAGCUAAUACCGCAUAACGUCGCAAGACCAAAGAGGGGGACCUUCGGGCCUCUUGCCAUCAGAUGUGCCCAGAUGGGAUUAGCUAGUAGGUGGGGUAAUGGCUCACCUAGGCGACGAUCCCUAGCUGGUCUGAGAGGAUGACCAGCCACACUGGAACUGAGACACGGUCCAGACUUUUACGGGAGGCAGCAGUGGGGAAUAUUGCACAAUGGGCGCAAGCCUGAUGCAGCCAUGCCGCGUGUGUUAAGAAGGCCUUCGGGUUGUAAAGCACUUUCAGCGAGGAGGAAGGUGGUGAGCUUAAUACGCUCAUCAAUUGACGUUACUCGCAGAAGAAGCACCGGGUAACUCCGUGCCAACAGCCGCGGUAAUACGGAGGGUGCAAGCGUUAAUCGGAAUUACUGGGCGUAAAGCGCACGCAGGCGGUUUGUUAAAUCAGAUGUGAAAUCCCCGGGGUCAACCUGGGAACUGCAUUUGAAACUGGCAAGCUAGAGUCUCGUAAAGGGGGGUAAAAUUCCAGGUGUAGCGGUGAAAUACGUAGAGAUCUGGAGGAAUACCGGUGGCGAAGGCGGCCCCCUGGACGAA
RNAcentral lists this ribosomal RNA (698 nucleotides) under uncultured gamma proteobacterium TIHP302-25. RNAcentral's name for it is "bacterial SSU rRNA". It matches the Rfam family "Bacterial small subunit ribosomal RNA", at positions 50 to 737 of the family's 1533-position model. The record is from RNAcentral. Lineage: Bacteria; Pseudomonadati; Pseudomonadota; Gammaproteobacteria.